Molecule: ribosomal RNA, 483 nt
Filed under: uncultured bacterium
Lineage: Bacteria
Description: partial 16S ribosomal RNA
Rfam family: Bacterial small subunit ribosomal RNA
Source: RNAcentral
GACGAACGCUGGCGGCGUGCUUAACACAUGCAAGUCGAACGAUGAAGCCGGAGCUUGCUCCGGUGGAUUAGUGGCGAACGGGUGAGUAACACGUGAGAAAUCUGCCCUUGACUCUGGGAUAACUGCGGGAAACUGUAGCUAAUACCGGAUACGACACCUUGGGGCAUCCCAGGGUGUGGAAAGAAUUUCGGUCAAGGAUGAGCUCGCGGCCUAUCAGCUAGUUGGUGAGGUAAUGGCUCACCAAGGCGACGACGGGUAGCCGGCCUGAGAGGGGGACCGGCCACACUGGAACUGAGACACGGUCCAGACUCCUACGGGAGGCAGCAGUGGGGAAUAUUGCACAAUGGGCGAAAGCCUGAUGCAGCAACGCCGCGUGAGGGAUGAAGGCCUUCGGGUUGUAAACCUCUUUUAGCAGGGAAGAAGCGAAAGUGACGGUACCUGCAGAAAAAGCACCGGCUAACUACGUGCCAGCAGCCGCCGUAA